AUGCCGUUCGCGCACGCGCUGCUCCGGGCGCGGGCCUGCCCCAGGGGCGCCGUCGUGGGACUCGUCCCCUGCGCGCAGGGCGGCACGCCCAUCGCCAACUGGACCCGUGGCUCCGAGAUGUACCAGCGGAUGGUGACCCGCGCCCGCGUCGCCGGUGCAGGGACCGGCAGGAUCGCGGCCUUGCUGUGGUUCCAAGGGGAGGCCGAUGCCAUGCGGCGCGAGGACGCGUUGGCCUACGCCGGGAGGAUGGAGGUGUUUGUCCGGGACAUCCGCCGGGACCUCGCCAUGCCCAACCUCCUCGUCAUUCAGGUUGGGAUCGCGACUGCGCAGAAGCAGGGGAAGUGGCUGGACCUGGUGAGGAAGCAGCAGAGGGCGGUGCGGCUGCCGAACCUCAAGUACGUGGAUGCCAUGGGGCUCCCCCUCGCCAACGACAUUACGCACCUUACCACCCAGGCCCAGGUCCGGCUCGGCAGGAUGCUCGCCGACGCGUACAUCGCCACGCUCUGA
RNAcentral lists this ribosomal RNA (507 nucleotides) under Triticum aestivum (bread wheat). RNAcentral's name for it is "partial small subunit ribosomal RNA". Lineage: Eukaryota; Viridiplantae; Streptophyta; Magnoliopsida; Poales; Poaceae. The record is from RNAcentral.